Molecule: ribosomal RNA, 158 nt
Filed under: uncultured bacterium
Lineage: Bacteria
Description: partial 16S ribosomal RNA
Rfam family: Bacterial small subunit ribosomal RNA
Source: RNAcentral
UGGCAGGUCAGCAUACUGCCGUGAAUACGUUCCCGGGCCUUGUACACACCGCCCGUCACACCAUGAGAGUUGGGAAUACCCGAAGCCUGUGAGCUAACAUUAAGAGGCAGCAGUCGAAGGUAGAAUCAAUGAUUGGGGUGAAGUCGUAACAAGGUAGC